GUAGCAACUUUAUUUUCAAUGACGUCCAGCUACGCAUCACAUGUUCCAGAGUUAAGGUAGUUCCAUUAACCAUGAGUGGGGGUGAGCCUACCAAAUUUAUUACAACUCUGUAAGAAUCAACGGUAUGGCUACCCAAGAAAUUUCCGCCUACGAUGGUGUCAAGAAUAUACCUAUUCCAAGGAGAAAUACCCACAUAAAAACUGCAAAGCAGGAAGGUAGUAGAUUGCUUACGAGUAGAUCUACUCUGAGCAUUGCAAAUCCUAUACCAAGCGUCCUUCAAAUUUUCUUCCUCAUUUUGUUUGAAAUUGUGAACUUCAUUUUCGGGAGUAUCAUUCGAAGCGGCGGGUCUAGCCAUGAGGACAGGUAGACUAUCCCACACAAACGAACAGAAAGCAAGCGAGAGAAAAGGG
Molecule: long non-coding RNA, 410 nt
Filed under: Hordeum vulgare
Lineage: Eukaryota; Viridiplantae; Streptophyta; Magnoliopsida; Poales; Poaceae
Description: long non-coding RNA (HVUL_LNC001194)
Source: RNAcentral